RNAcentral lists this long non-coding RNA (703 nucleotides) under Volvox carteri. Its description in RNAcentral is "long non-coding RNA (VCAR_LNC002747)". Lineage: Eukaryota; Viridiplantae; Chlorophyta; Chlorophyceae; Chlamydomonadales; Volvocaceae. The record is from RNAcentral.
CUUGGCUUCCUCCAUCCACGUGGGGUAGUCAAUCAGCUCAUCAUUCGCAAACAACCAAGUGCCGUCGCCGCCGCCGCCUUCACCAGCGGCGCCGCCGCCGCCAGUGACGGCUGUCCGGCUGCCCCGAAAGCACUGUCCCAGAAAACAAGAAGAGGAAAACGGAUUCCGGUCGGAUUCGAACGUGAACGCCAACAGUUUCAAAGAUAGCCGGACUGCCCAAUCCUGGUUUAAUUACGCUUUGGUAAUACAUUAUACUUAAGCAGGCACAUAGACAAGCAUUCGAUCACCCACCUGAUCGAGCCGUCAACAUUUUUCUCGGGGUUGACUUUGUUGACCGAGUUGUAGCAAAACGUUAUAAAGGCCCCGCCUGCAUGUGAUCCUGGCCGUAACUCCAGGAUCUGCGUGUAGCAGUGUACGACAACGUACGGCAAGGCCGGGAUACAGCGAAUAAGAGAAAUGAAGGGCGCGAUCUUUUUUUGAGACAGACAGGUAAACUUCGGAUGAGCCUAACCCUAAGGGCGUACGGGUGAGAACGCCAAGGGCAUCGGCAGUUAUGUGGACGAGCAUCGGGAUUUCCCCACACCAGUAACCGCCAAACAAAUAACCGCUUAGAUGAAAUAUUUGGCCCAAAAGAUGUGGUUCGGAUUGUUCGCCACACGAGGCAACCGCACUUUAAGGUUUGAGUAGGAGAAGCGCCCCCUUG